This 56-nucleotide transfer RNA is filed under the name Pseudomonas syringae pv. japonica str. M301072. RNAcentral describes it as "tRNA-Ala". It matches the Rfam family "tRNA", at positions 8 to 61 of the family's 71-position model. Rfam says of the family: Transfer RNA (tRNA) molecules are approximately 80 nucleotides in length. Their secondary structure includes four short double-helical elements and three loops (D, anti-codon, and T loops). Lineage: Bacteria; Pseudomonadati; Pseudomonadota; Gammaproteobacteria; Pseudomonadales; Pseudomonadaceae. The record is from RNAcentral.
UAGCUCAGCUGGGAGAGCGCCUGCAUGGCAUGCAGGAGGUCAGCGGUUCGAUCCCG